This 253-nucleotide ribosomal RNA is filed under the name uncultured bacterium. RNAcentral's name for it is "partial 16S ribosomal RNA". It matches the Rfam family "Bacterial small subunit ribosomal RNA", at positions 524 to 776 of the family's 1533-position model. The record is from RNAcentral.
UACGUAGGGUGCGAGCGUUAAUCGGAAUUACUGGGCGUAAAGCGUGCGCAGGCGGUUCGUUGUGUCGGCGGUGAAAGCCCCGGGCUUAACCUGGGAAUGGCCGUUGAAACUGGCGAACUGGAGUGUGGCAGAGGGUGGUGGAAUUCCGCGUGUAGCAGUGAAAUGCGUAGAUAUCGGGAGGAACACCUGUGGCGAAAGCGGCUCACUGGACCACAACUGACGCUGAGGCGCGAAAGCUAGGGGAGCAAACAGG